Molecule: long non-coding RNA, 344 nt
Filed under: Fukomys damarensis (Damara mole-rat)
Lineage: Eukaryota; Metazoa; Chordata; Mammalia; Rodentia; Bathyergidae
Description: lncRNA (ENSFDAG00000030208.1)
Source: RNAcentral
GUGAUAGCAACAAAGGAAAAAGGCUACACCACAUAAGAUAAACAAUCUUUAGAAUCCGGGAGACCUGUCCCACUCUAACUGAAGUUGGGGAAAAACUCAUGAAAUUAGUCACUUAUGCUGUGUUCUCAAUCAAAAUUAUGACGAAACUUUAAUCUUUUUGCAUCCUUCUAGUUGAAGUCGAAAGUCCGCGUCAAGAAAACUGACAGCCCCGGAUGGUAUUAAUUAUGCCAACCUGUUGAUCAAAGAGGGCCCCACAGAGCUGCCGCGGCACAGAGCCUUCACUCCUGAGCAGUCUCGGAAAUGGCAGUCUGUGCUCAACUCGGAGACUUGGCUGUCUGCCUUUU